GGGCACCUGCCAGAUGCCAGCCAGAGCUCUUCUGUAUGAGAUCUCCCUAAGAUACAACACAACAGUGCCUAGCCUGGAAGCCACAAAGGACUUCAAAUAACACAGAGAAGUGACCCACCAGAAUUACCUGGGAAGCUUUUAAUAAGUUGUGGAUGUUGCUUGAGAAUCUGUGCUUUUGUUAUGCAGUGUUCUUGCAGAGAUUAUUUCCACUUGCCUGCCGUGCAUAGUUUUGAAAAAAGCCAAACUAGAUUGUGAGCUCCCUGAGAGCAGGGACAUACUCCUUUCCCUCAAAAUUAUGGCCUUUGUGUCUCGUAUACCUUCUGACAGAUAUUAGGCACUGAAUAAAUUUUUGUUAAAUGAAUGAAUGAGUCUUUGGUUUCAAUGACAUUUGCUUCUCUUGAGGAACCUGGUUAGUUGACAUAAAUUGCAUGAUACCACAUAGAAUGGGGAAGCUCUCCCUUUCCUCUCUCUUGCUCAGGUCUGCAGAAGUCCAAGGGUCUUCUGCCUCUCCCUUCAAUUAAAUUUCAAAACCAGCAGUUACUACUGUUGGGUGUGGGACAAAAUGCCUACUACUGGUGGGCUGCUAAGACUAGGCAUGUACAUACAAGAAUAAACACAAUAUAUAUUUAGGCGUUUGAAUGGAUACAGAUGCCUAAGAGAGAGAGUCUAUCAUGAAAAAUUUGAACAAGUAGCCCUCAUCUACUAUAAAACCUACAGUUUUCUAACCUGAAUUAUUAUUGUUUCAGUUAUCUGCUAAAUGUAAGCUCUUUGACGGCAGUAUCUAUGUCUAUUCAUACUUGUAGCCAUCAUAGCAUCUGACACAGUGCAUUGCAUAUUGUAAGAGCCCAGUAAAUGCUUAAUGAGGGUAUAUAUGGAUCAGAUUGCCCAGAAGGAACUCUAUAAAUAAUGAUUGAAUAUCUUCUUUAAUAAAAUGAGGGAACUGGAUCAGAAAGUCUAAAAGAAGUUCCCUUUAUUGCUCAAUUUUUAUGAUCCUGUGAUUUAGAAAAAUAAUUUUAAUGGGCAGUUUCAUAGUUUGAAUGACAUAUUAUUCAGGCUUUUUAAAUAUAGGUGUUAGAAAUGAAGCUUAAAGCAGUUGGAAGCAAUAGAGAAUAAGGCAGGAAUUAAGUACUUCUAAUUAACAAUGCUAGAUAAUGUCAGUGACUGUUUCUUGUAUCUGUACUGUAAGGACAAAUGCUGUUCAUAGUUGUAACUUCUAAGACAAGGCUUUGAUUUCUUUACAGUAUUCUUCACCUACACCAGAACCACUUGUAAAGAGGCAAGAAUAUUUACUAAGAGUUGAAUCAUGAUAUGUUUUUUUUGCAAUAUAUUGUUUAAGGUUUCUUUUAAGUCCUGCCUCUUUCAGGAAGCCUUUACCUAAUAGUUCACUUCUCUCCAGGAAAGGACUGAUCUUUACAUGUAUAUCUUUCUGUUACUGUAUUUAGGCCCACAAAACCCCUAACUAGAUAUUGCCUAUGGGUUAAGAACAGAGUAAAGAUAUGAAGAACUGUUUUCAGACAUGUAAAAUAAGGUAAUGUGAAUCAUGUAGAAGAGACAAUAUCUUUAUUCCUUUUACUCUCAAAUCAUAAAAACGAAAGUUAUAGGAGGGAAGAUUUGACUUAAUAAUAGGGAGAAUGUUUCUGAAAGGUAGAACUCUUUGGAAGGGACAUGAUCUACUUUCUACUGUGUGCACUAGUAGUGCUUAGGCAUCUUGUAAGGAUUGUUGUGCAGGGAGUUUCUCUUUCAGCUUGAAGGUCAGCUAAAUAUAUCAUCUGAGAAUCUGUAAUUGAAUUUAACAAAUAUUUUAGUGCAUCUUUGCAGUAGGCAUUAAACUCUACAUAAUUAGGUGAUGGCUGGUAUCUGUUACAGUCUAGCACAACUGGCUUAGGAGGCAAGUCUUAUUCUUGCAGCACUAUUCACAGUCACAAAAAUAUGGAAUUAACCUAGGUUUCCAUCAAUGGAUGAUUGGAUAAAGAAAAUGUGGUGUAUGUAUGUAACAUGGAAUACUAUUCAGCCAUAAAAAAGAAUGAAAUCAUGUCUGUUGCAGCAACAUGGAUAGAACUGGAUCUCAGCUCACUGCAACCUCUGCCUCCAGGGUGCAAACAAUUCUCCUGUCCCAGCCUCCCGAGUAGCUGAGAUUACAGGCACCUGCCACCACUCCUAGCUAAUUUUUUGUAUUUUUAGUAGAGAUGGGGUUUCACCAUGUUGGCCAGGCUGGUCUCGAACUCCUGACCUCAUGACCCGCCCACCUCGGCCUCUCAAAGUGCUGGGAUUACAGACGUGAGCCACCAUACCUGGCCUGGAGGCCAUUGUCUUAAGUGAAAUAACAGAAACAGAAAGUCAAACACCACAUGUUCUCAAUUCUAAGUGGGAGCUAAAUAAUAUGUACACAUGGCCAGAGGGCAUGGAAUAAGAGUCAUUAGAGACUCAGGUGCGAGGGAGGUGAGAGAUAAGAAAUUAUCUAAUGGGUACAGUCUUCACUAUUCGGGUGAUGGUUAUGCAAAACACCAUGUUUAGCUUUCCCAAAUAAUAGCACAGUUAUUGAAUGAGGGAAAUGUGGUAUAAUGGUAGCAGAUUUGUUUACCAGUGUUGGCCAGCAACCAGGAAAUUAGUUGGUCAGUGAGUCACAACAUUAAUGGGGCUGCCAAAAUAUCCUCUAAUGAGCUGUUUUGUUGUAUUGAAUGAAGUAAUUAAUAAUUUUUUUAAUUAUAAAUAUUUAUAUUCCAAAUAGAAGUAGAAGUUGGUACUUAAUAUUGAACAGACUACACCAAAGAAGUAGGUUAAGAGAGAAUCUUUUAAGAGAAACAAUUUUCUUAGGUACUUUAAAGGAGCAUUAAUAAUAAAUACGGGGAUAGAGAGUAGGAGGUAAGUUGGCUAUUUUAGAUAACAUGGGCAGGUUAAGUUCUUCCUGAGAGACAACACUUGAAUGGUAGAGAAAGUGGUCAACUGGAGCAGAAUGCCCCAUCUGAAGGAAGAAUCUACUCUGCUGCUUCCCAGCUGCAGCUUACUGUCACCAGUCCAGUGUUGCCAGGACUACUAUUUUUCAAGAGAAACCAAGAUUCCAUGUUUCUUUAUGAAAAUUUUUAAACUGAGCAGAUAAACAAGCAUAUCUGAAGAAUAGAUUAUCUUUUCUGUCAGUUUGUGACCUGGGUGAUGCUGUCUUCUGAGUCCUCAGCCCUAUGUUGGAACAAAGAAAAAGGCUUUGAAGAAACCAGAGAGCUGCUUUAAAUACUUGUGGGUUAUCAGGUGGAAGACAGAUUUGACUUGUUCUAUUUCCAGAAGGCAGAACAGAGACAGGCAGAUUUUCACUCAAGGAAACACUUAACAAUUAGAGCAGACUAGAAAUAGAAUAGGAUGUUUGCUUGGAAAUUCUUCUGUUCCUGGAAAGUGGUGUUCAAGCUAAUAGUGGAUGAUGAGUUGUCAAAAGUGUCUAGGGAAGGGUCUAGGUAAGAUGACAUUUCAAGUUCCUUUUUAUCUUGAAAUUCUUGAAUCACCAAGAUCUAGAUCCCUGUUCAGCUCUUCUCCAUAUCUUCACCUUCAUGUUCACAGCUGAGUUAUCACCUUCCCAUACUAGGAAAGUCAGUAUGUAAAGUCAGUUUCUUAAAGGCUUGGUUUUUCUGUGUGUCUGCUUACAUAAUGAAGGUUCAUUGGUUUACAGUUCUUGUUUAAGAUGUCCUUUGCAUGUUAGGUUCAUUGGUUUGCAGUUCUUGAUUAAAAUGUCCUUUGCAUGUUAAGCAGUCACAAAACUUGAAAUUAAAGCUUUUAGAGUCUCUGAAGCUAUAAUUGUUUUAUUCUCCCAACUGCGCAUAAAACGGUUUGAUAGCUAGUGCUUUAACUAAAGCUAGUUGUGUUCGAGUUCUAACUUUGCAGCUGUCUUGGAGAUCUAAUACAUUAGCAAAGUGAAGUGAAGUAAAGAUAUAUUUUUCAAAAGUCCUUGAGUGGGAUUAUCUUACACUUUAUUAUUUAUCUUGAUACUAAAGAUAAGAAAUAGAUCUCUGCUAUUUCAUUUUUCUUUACUCAGUAUACAUAACUUUUUGUCAAGAGUUAAUAUAGAAGUAUGUCUGUUUCUCUCAUAACCCUUGUUUUAAUGGUUAACAAUUGUUUAUUUCUUAUCAGGAUGAGAGUUAAUAUAUUGCCAUCCUUGAUAAGAACUCUUGGUCUAAUUUUACUUAUAACUGCUUUAAUUACUUUAUAACACACUAAUGCCAUAAUCUAUAUAAUGCUUGCAUGUCCAGUGCGUGUAUUUAUUUCUAGAUCAGUGAUUGUAAUAGGUACUAGGUGCUUAAAAAUACCUAUACUGGAAUAUAAGCAAUUACAUUUUUUCAAAAUGUAUGGAGUCUUUAUUAUGAUACUCAUGAAUGUUUUUAAUGAGAAUAUGAUAAUAAACCCUACAUCUCUUCCUAAAUCUCCGAUCAGUAGUAGUGUGACCUGGUGCUACCUAUCAGAAGAAUGAGGGCCCUCCCUUAGCAGUGGAGUACUGAAAACUGUAUCUCUGCCUCUCCUCCUUCACACCCUCCUUCAAUUCAUGAUCCUCAGGGAGACUUAUUUUGCCUAGUUUAGUUACUGAGUCUGGUGGUUGACCUCUUGAGUAAUGAAAGGACAUUACUGAGAAUUUUGAGAGUGCUGAGAGUGAGUGGAUACUUUUAAGGUUUUCUCUUCAAGCUUUUGUUCCCUAAUUUGGAAAGGUAAGUAAUGUUUGAUAAUCUUACUAAAUUCCACAGUUAUUUAUUCUCUCAAACCCUUCAGAAAAUACCCAAUUGAAUAAGAUAUAAAUGUUUAAGGAACUUUUUUUUCUAUGUUGAACCAGAUAAAUCUAAGAAAUAAAAGAAAAGCUACAUAAUCUGCAGUAUAAUAUUAAUGAAAAUACAGCAGAGACUUGCAGUUACCAUGUUAAGGUACAGAUGAUUUCCUAAAUGAAUUCAUUUGUCUAUGAUCAGUAACUAAAGAAGCAGCUAGCUGGGGUAUCUACUCUUGUAGGGGAGCAGGUAGCCUUUCUGGGAGGAGAGCACAUAUUAACUGACUUAAACACCUUUGUUUUUUUUUUUUUCUGUAUUUGCUUUAAGUGAUACUGAAUUUGAUGGCUUUUUCUUUGGCUUGCUAAGGAUAAAAUGUAGAAAAUUUAAUUCUGCUUGGAUUAAUGAACAUAUUUUUAGAAUCUUGUACAAAUUGUAGCACUAAUGAAAGGUCCUCUGCUCCAGGCAUAAGGUUUCAUUUAAGAAUGAAAAAGCAAAUUGAGCUAAUGUAUUGUGUAAGAGGUUUGUAGUUAAAUACAUAAAAUGAUGUCAGUUUGAUUUCAGCUGGAGCUAAGGUACUCUGAUAGCUAUGAGAUGUUAAAAUAAUAGAAACAUUUAAAGAAGUAUGAUAGCUGAAUUUUAUAUAAAUAAAGUAGUUUGAUUUUUUAUAACUGGUAGCGUUUAUUUUACUUCAGUGAUUUGGCAGAGGUACUAAGCCAAAUAAUUUUUAAAUUGGUUUUAUCUUAAAUUGGUUAUAUCUGGUGGUAACAUUUAUGGAUAAUUAGAGUCAAAAUAAGCAAUUGUUUCAUCCUUUUCUACUUUACCAUGUUUUAAACAUUUGAGUUUGGAAAACUUAAAUUAUAUACAAAGUAGAAAAUUAGUAUAAUAAAGACUUUAAAUCACAUUUAUCAAUGCACAGGGAAUCGUGUUUUAACUAUACCCCCACCAAACAUAUCUUGCCUCAGAUUUUAAAGCAAAUUCCAAGUGUCAAUCCUUUCCUUAUAAAUAUUUCAGUAUGUAUCCUUGAGUAAGUCCAUAAGGACUAAUUUCUUUUAGCAUAACUAUAAUGCCAUUAAAACAGCUACUUUUUAGUUGCAGAUAAGAAGUAGGGUAGGAAUUGCUGGGGUCUAACCCAGUUCUGAUGACAUUAAAUAGAUCCUAGAUAGUUGGACAAAUCAUUUAACUUUCUUCUCUUCCUGCUCUCUUGUCUUUUAAAGGGGGAAGCUCAACUAAAUUUUCUUUAAAAUCCCAUCUGUCUCUGAAAUUUGUUAAUUUAAAAAAUUAGACUUCUAGUUUCCAGACUAGCAUGUAAGGAGCUUAGAAGUCAUUACGUCAAAAAAUAAACAGGUUAAAAAGCUGAACAAACUGAAAAAUUAACAGUUCUUCUUAGAUCUGUUAUAGAAGCAAGGUUACAGGGUAAACCACUCCCACCACCCCCAGAUUGAAGAGACAGGCAAAUACAGAGAACAGGAGCAGAAGCCUCUGCAGGAAUCAGCAUCACAGUAGGAAAACCUGAACUGCAAUUGAUAAAUUGCUGGGGCUCAGGAUAUACAAGCUUGAGAGUGAAAAACUUUAGGGGUGACGAGUCAUGAGACCUAAUCAUAGGACUAUAGAAUGCUCUACCCUCCCCCGCUUUCUUACCCCCACUUUCUUAGCCCUAUUUUCUGCAGUUCCUUUUACCCAAUUCACCAUGUCCAGCUCUCAAGAAAAAAAUUACAAGUGUACUAGAAGGCAAAUAAUACACUUCGAAGAGACAGAACAAGCAACAGAACCAGAUUCAGAUAUGGCAGGGCUCUUGAAAUUAUCAUAUCAGGAAUUUAAAACAACUAUCAUUAAAAUACUAAGGGCUCUAGGGAUAAAGUAGAUGCCAUGGAAGAGCAGAUGGGCAAUGUAAGCAGAGAGGUGGAAUUCUAAGAAAGAAUCAAAAAGAAAUGCCAAAGGUGAAAAACAGUGAAAUAAAAAUGAAGAAUGUUUUAAAUGAGUUCAUUGGUAGACUUGACACAGCUGAGGAAAGAAUCUAAAACCUUGAGUAUAUGUCAGUAGAAACUUCCAAGAUAGAAAAGUAAAGGGAAAAAAGACUGAAAUAAACUGAACAGAAUAUCCAAGAACUGUGGAACAACAAUAGGUGUAUCAUAUGCAUGAUGAGAAUACCAAACGAAGUAAAAAAGGAAAGGAACAGAUUAAAUAUUUGAAGCAGGAACAACAGAAAUUUUCCUGCAAAUUAAUGUCCCACACUAAACCACAGAUUCAGGAAGCUCAGAAAGCAUUAGGAUAAAUGCAAAAAAAAAAAAAAAAAGC
RNAcentral lists this long non-coding RNA (7028 nucleotides) under Homo sapiens (human). Its description in RNAcentral is "HSALNT0310748". Lineage: Eukaryota; Metazoa; Chordata; Mammalia; Primates; Hominidae. The record is from RNAcentral.